RNAcentral lists this ribosomal RNA (253 nucleotides) under uncultured bacterium. RNAcentral describes it as "partial 16S ribosomal RNA". It matches the Rfam family "Bacterial small subunit ribosomal RNA", at positions 524 to 776 of the family's 1533-position model. The record is from RNAcentral.
UACGGAGGAUGCAAGCGUUAUCCGGAAUGAUUGGGCGUAAAGCGUCCGCAGGUGGCAAUGUAAGUCUGCUGUCAAAGCGUCUGGCUCAACCAGAUAAAGGCAGUGGAAACUACAUAGCUAGAGUAAGGUAGGGGUAGAGGGAAUUCCUGGUGUAGCGGUGAAAUGCGUAGAGAUCGGGAGGAACACCGGCGGCGAAGGCGGGGUCCUGGACCUGGCCUGACGCUCAGGAGCGAAAGCGUGGGGAGCGAGCCGG